AGCUGCUCAGUGUUCGUACAGUCUCAUGCAGAGAGCGUGGAGGUGUUGUCCAUGGUGGAUGCUAGCCUAGACAACAUCCUCUCCUCCCCAGUCUGCUCAGUGGACUUUAGCAGACCGUUCCAGGACAGAGCUGGCCCUCCUGACCAGUUUGUUAAGUUUCCCCCUGCCCCUCUCUGCCAUUCCACAACUCCAGCAGACCACAGCAUAAAAGACAGCAGACGCCACCACAGUGUCGUAGAACAUCCUUAGCAGACAUACUACACAGUAAAAAAUGGAGAGUCAAUAUUUCAGUGUAAACCCAUUUUAACCUAGAGAGAGUAUUUACAACUCUGUGAGGAGUAAACCAGCUCUAACGUCAGAGUUAAAAGUCAGUGUAAAGUUCUAUAGACACGGAGUGAAGACAACUCCACACAGUGUUGAUUAGUACCAGUCUGCAUGCGCGGUCUCAGAGCUGUGUGACACAUGUGGAAUUUUCUCUGAAGAGCUGCCACAGUCAGAAUAUGUUGCUGCGUGUUUUGUUUGGUGGGGAGCAGAAGUAUGUUAGGCUGUCUGACCUGAGAUUUGAUGCUUUCAUGAAAGAAGUGUGCCUAAAAUUUAACAUACCAGAAGGCAGACAGCUAGAGGUGUUUGAAGAAAUAGUGAAGGGGUCACCUGGAACCUUCCGAGUCCUGCUGAGCAAUGAAGAACUUGGUGCAUCUCUAUCAUCAUCAUCUUCUCCAUCUGAUGAUACAGUCAUUCUAGACUUCACAAUGUGUGACCCUCCAGAAGAAGCAGCCACCACUGAAGGAAGACAACCUAAAAGGCCAUGCCAUAUAAACUAUGAGGCAAAAGCUGUGGGUAGUGAACAUUGUUAG
This 854-nucleotide long non-coding RNA is filed under the name Oreochromis niloticus (Nile tilapia). RNAcentral describes it as "lncRNA (ENSONIG00000042888.1)". Lineage: Eukaryota; Metazoa; Chordata; Actinopteri; Cichliformes; Cichlidae. The record is from RNAcentral.